GACGGAGGAUGCAAGUGUUAUCCGGAAUCACUGGGCGUAAAGCGUCUGUAGGUGGUCAAAUAAGUCAACUGUUAAAUCUUGAGGCUCAACCUCAAAAUCGCAGUCGAAACUAUUAGACUAGAGUAUAGUAGGGGUAAAGGGAAUUUCCAGUGGAGCGGUGAAAUGCGUAGAGAUUGGAAAGAACACCGAUGGCGAAGGCACUUUACUGGGCUAUUACUAACACUCAGAGACGAAAGCUAGGUAGCAAAUGGG
This 252-nucleotide ribosomal RNA is filed under the name uncultured bacterium. RNAcentral describes it as "partial 16S ribosomal RNA". It matches the Rfam family "Bacterial small subunit ribosomal RNA", at positions 524 to 776 of the family's 1533-position model. The record is from RNAcentral.